UGAUUUCUGUCCCACCUUUAGAAUUUCUUCCAAAGUGUCAGUUCCUUUAUUCAGCAUUCUGAUGGAUUUUGUCAUUUGAUCUAGCUUAGAUGCUAACAAGGUUAUCUCACCAUUUAGAUCAUCUAUGACUGUCAUAUGCUUCUUCUUCUCAGCUUCCAGCUCCUUGAUAAGUUUCUUUUCCUUUUCUCCUUGUAGACACACUUCUGCAC
Molecule: long non-coding RNA, 209 nt
Filed under: Lathyrus oleraceus (garden pea)
Lineage: Eukaryota; Viridiplantae; Streptophyta; Magnoliopsida; Fabales; Fabaceae
Description: Pisum sativum (pea) long non-coding RNA (PSAT_LNC008661)
Source: RNAcentral